This 547-nucleotide ribosomal RNA is filed under the name uncultured bacterium. Its description in RNAcentral is "bacterial SSU rRNA". It matches the Rfam family "Bacterial small subunit ribosomal RNA", at positions 355 to 895 of the family's 1533-position model. The record is from RNAcentral.
UGGGGAAUAUUGCACAAUGGGCGCAAGCCUGAUGCAGCCAUGCCGCGUGUGUGAAGAAGGCCUUCGGGUUGUAAAGCACUUUCAGCGGGGAGGAAGGCGGUGAGGUUAAUAACCUCAUCGAUUGACGUUACCCGCAGAAGAAGCACCGGCUAACUCCGUGCCAGCAGCCGCGGUAAUACGGAGGGUGCAAGCGUUAAUCGGAAUUACUGGGCGUAAAGCGCACGCAGGCGGUCUGUCAAGUCGGAUGUGAAAUCCCCGGGCUUAACCUGGGAACUGCAUUCGAAACUGGCAGGCUAGAGUCUUGUAGAGGGGGGUAGAAUUCCAGGUGUAGCGGUGAAAUGCGUAGAGAUCUGGAGGAAUACCGGUGGCGAAGGCGGCCCCCUGGACAAAGACUGACGCUCAGGUGCGAAAGCGUGGGGAGCAGACAGGAUUAGAUACCCUGGUAGUCCACGCCGUNNCGAUGUCGAUUUGGAGGUUGUGCCCUUGAGGCGUGGCUUCCGGAGCUAACGCGUUAAAUCGACCGCCUGGGGAGUACGGCCGCAAGGNU